Molecule: non-coding RNA, 3549 nt
Organism: Oryctolagus cuniculus (rabbit)
Lineage: Eukaryota; Metazoa; Chordata; Mammalia; Lagomorpha; Leporidae
Source: RefSeq, a predicted model, not a curated record
CAGAACUGGCGAAAAGCGCGCGGCGGCGGUCCAGUGGCCGCAGGAGCCUGGCGUUAAGGAUUCUUUUCCCUCCUAACAGGUUCCUGCGUUAGCAGCCGUGAGGUGGUCUCCAAGUUGGAGCCAGGAAUAAAGCUGUGGUGGUGGAAGAAGCCCUCAGCCUGAGCCUCUCAGGUCCGUCAGCGCCUUCUAAGUCGGAGGCUGGGACUAGGAGGAGUCAGCGGGUGUGCUGCGCGCUUCUCCCGGUUCCUCCUGCGCUCCCGGUCUUGAGGAGAGUUGGUUCAGGCAUCUGCAGUCUCCAUGAUGCCCACAACAGCCAGAGCCAGACCAGGGUGAGGCCUAGAUCCUGAAACUCCAUUCCUGUCUCUCUCAUGCACGGAAGAGACUCAGGCAGAGUUACAGAGAGGCAAAGGCAGAGAGAGAGAAGUCUUCCAUCCACUGGUUCACUCCCAAAAUGGCUGUGGUGGCCAGAGCUGGGCUGAUCUGAAGCCAGGAGCCAGGAGCUUCUUCCAGAAUAAGCCUAAUGACUGAAAGGAUAUACUGGAUUUGGAGACUCGACCAGGACAGCACUGUGAUCAUCUCGGAUUGUGAGGCAGCUACAUGUAGCCUGUGAGCAGUGCAUGAUGACAAAGAUGUGGAGGCACCCUGUGGUGAGCUCCUUGUAUGUAUGUCAGUGUCUGCUACUUUAGAUCCACUCAUGUGUGAGCUCUGCUGAAAGGGAAGUACUCUGUAGUCAACUGGAACUCAUUCAGCCAAAACCUUGAUUUUGCAUCCCUACUACCUAUUGACUGGACUUCCAUGUGCAUAUUUUGAGCUUAAUUAUACCUCUAUUAUCUCAUUUCAGAUAGUGAAAACUAGAUAAAGAGAGUAUAGAUUAUUAUCAAUGAUCAUUGUUACUAAGCAGCCAAAUAUGAUUUAAACUAAGAUCUGGGGCAGGUGUUUGGCCUGGUGGUUAAGAUGGUACCUGGGACACCUAAAUCCCAUGCUAGAGUGUCUAAGUUUGCAUCUUACUUCACUCCAAAUUCCAGCUUUCUGCUGAUGCACAGCUGUCAUUGAUUUCUCACCACCCCAUUUGGAGACCUGAAUUGAGUUCAUGGCUCUGAGAUACAGCCUGGUCCAUCCCUGGCCAUUAUAGUCAUUUGAAGAGUGAACCACCCAAUGGGAUUCCCUCCCUUGCUCUAUCUGAAGCUCUCUGUCCCUCAAGUGGAUUAAUAUAAUUUUAAAAAUACAAAAAUUAAGGUCUGUUUAGCUUUCUAAAAAUAUGUAUUUAUUUAUUUUUAAGUCAGUUACACAGAGAGAGUGAGACACAGAGAUCUUCUAUCCACUGGUUCAUUCACCACAUAGUCACAAUGGCUAGAGCUGGGCCAGUCCAAAGCAUGGAGCCAGGAGCUUCUUACAAGUUUCCCAUGUGGGUGCUUGGGCUGCCCUCUACUGCACUCUGAGGUACGUUAGCAGGGAGCUGGAUCAGAAGUGGGGCAGGUGGCAGCUUAACCUGCUAUGCCACAAUGCCAUCUGUUUAAUUUUUAAACUUGAGUUGUUUGGGGACCAUAGGUAAGUCUUAAAAGUACCCAAAGUGUUAAUUUUAAAAAGCUGUGGAUGUAGUUGAAAAGCUGGAAAUUAGAAGACUAAGCACAUUGAUCUAUAUAAGAUCAGCAGCUGCAAAGGAUGAUAGGCUGAAUGAACCAUCAACUUCUCUUGACUCUUGUUAAAAUUUUUAGCUGGAGGGGUCUGUGCUGUGGCACAGUGGGUUAAUGCCCUGGCCUGAAGUGCCAGCAUCCCAUAUGGGUGCUGGUUUGAGACCCGGCUGUUCCACCUCCAAUCCAGCUCUCUGCUAUGGCCUGGGAAAGCAGUAGAAGAUGGCCCAAGUCUUUGGGCCCCUGCACCUGUGUAGGAGACCUGGAAGAAGCUCCUAUCUCCUGGCUUGGGAUUGGCACAGCUCUGGUCAUUGUGGCCAACUGGGGGAAUGAACCAUCAGAUGGAAGAUCUCUCUCUCUCUCUCUCUCUCUCUCUCUCUCUCUGCCUUUCUCUCUGCCUCUUCUGUGUAACUCUGACUUGCAAAUAAAUAAAUCUUAAAAAAAAUUUAGCUGGAAAGACAAUUGACACCUUUUUUUAAAUUUGAGACAGGGAGAUAAGAGAAACAGAAACAGAGAAGUCUCCCACCUUCCAGCCCAACUUACAUAUAAAUUUCUGCAGUGCACAGGCCAAGGACAGGAAACACAGUUCUUCUCUUCCAUGUAAGUGGCAGAGACAGAAUUAAAUGAGUCCUAACUUGGUGUCUCCUGGGAUGCACAGUAGCAGGAAGCUGGAGGUGGGAGCCAAGCCAGGAUUUGAACCUAGGUAGCUAAUAUGGGACAAGGGCAUCUUAAACCUAUAUCUUAAUCACUAGAGCAAUCACUAGAUCAAAUGCUCAAACUAGAUCCACAAUCUCAGGAGGCCAGAAGUAUCAUUUAUGGUUUAUAUUCUUAUGACAGUGAAGAGAAUCAGGAUGCAGGGAACUGUAAAAUCCAAAAAUAACAAGGAUGAUCUCUGUAGUGAGAUGUCAGAGUCAUAUUGUAAAUCCUGUACCAGAGAGAACCAAAUCACUCCUCCCUCUGUAACUCUGGAGGCCUCUUAGUCAAAGUCAGUUUCUCCCAAUGGGAGCUUCUAGUCAGGUUUGCUCUUGCCCAUAUUAUCCAACAGCUCAGUGAUCCUGCUAAAGUGCUUUGUUGUGGGACAUUCUCUUUGAUACUUCCCUCUCUGAAUUAAAAAAUGACAAGGCAAUGGACGCCUUAUGUAUUACUCCUUUACAAAGAGACCUGAGGUGUAUAAGGCAGGGGACCUUGAUAUCAGGCAGUCAGAAAGGCUCAUUUACAAAUUAGGGAUCGAUGUAAAUAUUGAGGUCUAUUGGAUUUAAAAAAAAAAGAAAAUUUAUUUGAAUGUCAUUUACAGAGAGAGAGAGAGACAGAGAGAUCUAUACACUGGUUGACUCCCCAGAUGGGUGCAAUGGCCAGUGGUGAGUCAGGCUGAAGUCAGGAGCAAUUCUAUUGGGUCUUCUAUUGGGUCUUCCACGUGGGUGGCAGGGGCUCAAGCACCUGGGCAUCUUCUGCUGCUUUUCCUAGGCCAUUAGUAGAGAGCUGGAUCAGAAGCAGAGCAGCUGGGACACGAAAUGGCACCCAUAAGUGAUGUCAGCAUAGCAGGCAGCAGUGCUAUCUGCUACCCCACACCACCAGACCCAAAGAUACUGCUUUUGGAUGGAGAUUCUUCUGGGCAUUUUAUUCCCUGUCUGCCCCACCCUUUAUUCUCUUACACAUAUGUUCCAGGUAGAUUAUGUUUAGAAGAUAAUCCUACUAUAAUUUAUUUCUAGUAAGGAUUGUUUAUCAAGAUUAAUAAAUGUUAAUGGUUUUAAGAACUUUGGAUUACAUGCAACUGAAAGACCAUGUUAUAAAGAAUUGGGUACUAUGUUAAACACUUGGCAUGUGCUAAGAAUUAAUAAAGUAACCUAACAUGCAAUGAUGAAAUUAAGAAUCCAGCAAAGAUAAUAAAAGUCUGGGUAAACCUAAAAAUGCAUGUAGA